RNAcentral lists this transfer RNA (72 nucleotides) under Ovis aries (sheep). It matches the Rfam family "tRNA". From Rfam's summary of the family: Transfer RNA (tRNA) molecules are approximately 80 nucleotides in length. The record is from Rfam by way of RNAcentral. Lineage: Eukaryota; Metazoa; Chordata; Mammalia; Artiodactyla; Bovidae.
UCCCUUGUGGCUCAGCUGGUAAAGAAUCCGCCUGCAAUGCGGGAGACCUGGGUUGGAUCCCUGGCUUGGGAA